Long non-coding RNA from Amphiprion ocellaris (clown anemonefish), 510 nucleotides. The record is from Ensembl. NCBI's taxonomy places the organism in Eukaryota, Metazoa, Chordata, Actinopteri, Pomacentridae.
CUUAUAACCCCUGGCCUCAUUGACAGCGGAUGAGAGAAUCAUACCAGCAGGGGGCAGCGUCACACUCCUAUAUGGAUGUAUGACUGAUUCAGACGUACCUCAUCAUCCUCUACACCUGAGACGGUGCAAGGUGGAGCACUGUAGUACACUAUCAGGACUUCAGAAAGAGGUAUCAUUGCAGAGGAAGAAGAGGAGACCCAGUCAGUCUAUACAGAGGACAGUAACACCCACACAAUUGAGAAAAGAGUUUUCAACAAGGCUUUCAUCACACAGCAGCCUAACUGACCUCAGAUUUUCAGAGGGGAGACCAGCAAUUCAGGACACCUUAACCUUAGAAGGAAGCAGCAUGAGCCAGAGGAGGGCGCUGUUUACACUGAUGUGAAGAUGGAGACUAAAAUGUGGAGGUGCACAGCAUGGAAAUUUUCCACCUGAGCGUGGCUGCUUGAGGGGGCGUAGGUGCUAAAAUGACGUAAUUUGUCCACCUGGAGCCGCACGGACCUUGCGGCCGCG